CGCACCUUGUGCUCCUUGGUAUUCCUUGGAGCAUGCCUGUUUGAGUAUCAUGGAAUUCUCAACUCCCAAGUUUCUUAGGAAACAUGGUGAGCUUGGACUUGGAGGAUCUGUGCUGGCUAGUAAUCAAGUCAGCUCCUCUGAAAUGUAUUAGCAUAAAUCAUGCAAUCAUCCUCAGUGUGAUAAUUGUCUACGCUGUGAAUGUGAAGCAUUUUAUGUUUAUGCUUAUAGUCGUCUUUUUAUUAAGACACUUUUUGACUUCUGAUCUCAAAUCAGGUAGGACUACCCGCUGAACUUAA
RNAcentral lists this unclassified non-coding RNA (296 nucleotides) under Candelabrochaete langloisii. Its description in RNAcentral is "partial contains 5.8S ribosomal RNA, internal transcribed spacer 2, and large subunit ribosomal RNA". Lineage: Eukaryota; Fungi; Basidiomycota; Agaricomycetes; Polyporales; Irpicaceae. The record is from RNAcentral.